GGGGAAUCUUCCGCAAUGGGCGAAAGCCUGACGGAGCAAUACCGCGUGAGGGAGGAAGGCUCUUGGGUUGUAAACCUCUUUUCUCAAGGAAGAAAAAAAUGACGGUACUUGAGGAAUCAGCAUCGGCUAACUCCGUGCCAGCAGCCGCGGUAAUACGGAGGAUGCAAGCGUUAUCCGGAAUUAUUGGGCGUAAAGGGUCCGCAGGUGGUACAUCAAGUCUGCUGUCAAAGACCGAAGCUCAACUUCGGGCAGGCAGUGGAAACUGGUGAACUAGAGUACGGUAGGGGUAGAGGGAAUUUCCAGUGUAGCGGUGAAAUGCGUAGAGAUUGGAAAGAACACCAGUGGCGAAGGCGCUCUACUGGACCUGUACUGACACUGAGGGACGAAAGCUAGGGGAGCGAAAGGGAUUAGAUACCCCAGUAGUC
This 425-nucleotide ribosomal RNA is filed under the name uncultured cyanobacterium. Its description in RNAcentral is "bacterial SSU rRNA". It matches the Rfam family "Bacterial small subunit ribosomal RNA", at positions 356 to 795 of the family's 1533-position model. Lineage: Bacteria; Bacillati; Cyanobacteriota. The record is from RNAcentral.